RNAcentral lists this ribosomal RNA (256 nucleotides) under uncultured bacterium. RNAcentral describes it as "partial 16S ribosomal RNA". It matches the Rfam family "Bacterial small subunit ribosomal RNA", at positions 524 to 776 of the family's 1533-position model. The record is from RNAcentral.
UACGUAGGGUGCAAGCGUUGUCCGGAAUUAUUGGGCGUAAAGGGUGCGUAGGCGGCAUGAUAAGUUAUUGGCGGCAAAUCGAGGCUCAACCUCGUGGAAACUAAUAAUACUGUCUUGCUUGAGUGCAGAAGAGGUUAACGGAACUCCAUGUGGAGCGGUAAAAUGUGUAGAUAUAUGGAAGAACAUCAAUAACGGCGAAGGCAGUUAACUAUUCUGUUACUGACGUUGAGGCACGAAAGCGUGGGGAGCAAAAAGG